AUUGAACGCUGGCGGCAGGCCUAACACAUGCAAGUCGAGCGGAGCGGCGGGCGGGUGAGUAAUACCUAGGAAUCUGCCUGGUAGUGGGGGAUAACGUUCGGCAACGGACGCUAAUACCGCCUACUAUCCGCUGCGCCUAGGUCGGAUUAGCUAGUUGGUGGGGUAAUGGCUGACCAAGGCUACGAUCCGUAACUGGUCUGAGAGGAUGAUCAGUCACACUGGAACUGAGACACGGUCCAGACGCCUACGGGAGGCAGCAGUGGGGAAUAUUGGACAAUGGGCGAAAGCCUGAUCCAGCCAUGCCGCGUGUGUGAAGAAGGGCUUCGGAUUGUAAAGCACUUUAAGUUGGGAGGCGUUACCGACAGAAUAAGCACCGGCUAACUCUGUGCCAGCAGCCGCGGUAAUAC
Molecule: ribosomal RNA, 407 nt
Filed under: uncultured bacterium
Lineage: Bacteria
Description: partial 16S ribosomal RNA
Rfam family: Bacterial small subunit ribosomal RNA
Source: RNAcentral